UACAACUUUUAUCAACGCAUCUCUUGCCUCUCCCAUCUCUGAAGAACGCAGCUGAAUGCGCGACGUUACGCGAAUUGCGCAAUUCAGUGAAUCAUCUAAUCUUUGAACGCACCUUGCGCCCUCUGGUAUUCCGGAGGGCAUGCCUGUUUGAGUG
RNAcentral lists this ribosomal RNA (154 nucleotides) under Collybiopsis subnuda. Its description in RNAcentral is "Marasmiellus subnudus 5.8S ribosomal RNA". It matches the Rfam family "5.8S ribosomal RNA". Rfam says of the family: 5.8S ribosomal RNA (5.8S rRNA) is a component of the large subunit of the eukaryotic ribosome. It is transcribed by RNA polymerase I as part of the 45S precursor that also contains 18S and 28S rRNA. The record is from RNAcentral. Lineage: Eukaryota; Fungi; Basidiomycota; Agaricomycetes; Agaricales; Omphalotaceae.